This is a non-coding RNA of Pelodiscus sinensis (Chinese soft-shelled turtle), 1116 nucleotides long. The record is from RefSeq and is a predicted model, not a curated record. Lineage: Eukaryota; Metazoa; Chordata; Testudines; Trionychidae.
AUCUUCGUGGAUGCUGUGGGUUGUAGUAUUGUCAGUAAUUUGUACUGUUUAUCUUGUACCUCUUGGAGUGUAAUGUCUUGUGAUUGGGCUACCUGCUUAAACAGUUCUUGAAAUUGUUUCAGAUCGUCUACCAGUGGGGAAGGCAAUAUCUGGAAGACUGCUUUGUCCAGUCUAGUGGAUCUGGGUUCGUGUGAGGAGCUCUCUGAGUUCGAGUGAGGAAGAAGACUGCUCUGACUCUUGUCUUCAGCCGAGGACGGUAGAAAAGGAACCGAUGGGACACAUGCUGCACGCACACUCCAUAAAUGGCGGAGGCGCGAGACACUAGGUCGCGAAAAGGUCUAUUUGUGGUGAUCCCAAGCUCGGAAGAUGUUGUCCAGGACAUCGGGGCGAAUUUCCCACUCGUGGUCCUGAGGGAGAAGUCUGCUGGGAGCAUCCGCUGUGACGUUGUUCGUGCCAGGUAAGUAGGAUGCUAUCAGUGUGACGCAGUUUCUUAUGCACCAGUUCCAUAAGCUGUGCCUGUGCGCAAAGUAAUCGGGAUCAUGCUCCUCCUUGUCAAUUGACAUAAUACAUAGUUGCUAUGUUAUCUGUAAGCACUCGGACGGUUGUACCAGUGACGUGCGUGCGGAAAUGUUUGCAAGCAAGGAAUACAGCUUUUAGUUCCAGGAGGUUGAUAUGGGAAACUGCCUCCAUUGCCGGCCAUCUGCCUUGCAUGGACAUGCCAUCGAUGUGUGCACCCCAGCCCAAAAGGGAUGCGUCUGUAGUCAAUUGGGUCGAUGGCUGUUGACAUCUGAAUGGGACCCCUAUUAGCAGAUUUCUGGGGUUCAACCACCAACCUAGGGAUCUGCGAACUAAAGUAGUUGGUUAUCAAUUUGUGCGUGGAAUGCUUUGCUGGAGUAUACACCGAUGCCAGCCAGUGUUGGAGACAGUGAAAGUGAAGUCUCGCAUGUUGAACUACAAAGGUAGCGGCCGUCAUAUGCCCCAUGAGGCGGAGACAGGUAAGUACAGUGACUGUAGGGGCGUGGGUGACUACCGUUGCUAGCUCUUGUAUAACUUGGAAGCACUCGAGGUAAGUACGCACGGGCUGUGGUGGAAUCUAGACAUGCACCUAUGAAAUGU